UACAGAGGUCCCAAGCGUUGUUCGGAUUCACUGGGCGUAAAGGGUGCGUAGGCGGUCGGGUAAGUCUGAUGUGAAAUCUCCGGGCUCAACCCGGAAAUGGCAUUGGAUACUAUUCGGCUCGAGGUCUGGAGGGGGGACUGGAAUACUUGGUGUAGCAGUGAAAUGCGUAGAUAUCAGGAGGAACACCUAUAGCGAAGGCAGCUCGCUGGGACGACACUGACGCUGAGACGCGAAAGCGUGGGGAGCGAACAGG
Molecule: ribosomal RNA, 253 nt
Filed under: uncultured bacterium
Lineage: Bacteria
Description: partial 16S ribosomal RNA
Rfam family: Bacterial small subunit ribosomal RNA
Source: RNAcentral